GAAACACAGAAGACAAACU
This 19-nucleotide small RNA is filed under the name Arabidopsis thaliana (thale cress). Its description in RNAcentral is "ATSL227060". Lineage: Eukaryota; Viridiplantae; Streptophyta; Magnoliopsida; Brassicales; Brassicaceae. The record is from RNAcentral.